This 515-nucleotide ribosomal RNA is filed under the name uncultured bacterium. RNAcentral's name for it is "bacterial SSU rRNA". It matches the Rfam family "Bacterial small subunit ribosomal RNA", at positions 27 to 524 of the family's 1533-position model. The record is from RNAcentral.
GGAUGAACGCUGGCGGCGUGCCUAAUACAUGCAAGUCGAGCGAACAGAUAAGGAGCUUGCUCCUUUGAAGUUAGCGGCGGACGGGUGAGUAACACGUGGGUAACCUACCUAUAAGACUGGGAUAACUUCGGGAAACCGGAGCUAAUACCGGAUAACAUUUAGAACCGCAUGGUUCUAAAGUGAAAGAUGGUUUUGCUAUCACUUAUAGAUGGACCCGCGCCGUAUUAGCUAGUUGGUAAGGUAACGGCUUACCAAGGCGACGAUACGUAGCCGACCUGAGAGGGUGAUCGGCCACACUGGAACUGAGACACGGUCCAGACUCCUACGGGAGGCAGCAGUAGGGAAUCUUCCGCAAUGGGCGAAAGCCUGACGGAGCAACGCCGCGUGAGUGAUGAAGGGUUUCGGCUCGUAAAACUCUGUUAUUAGGGAAGAACAAAUGUGUAAGUAACUGUGCACAUCUUGACGGUACCUAAUCAGAAAGCCACGGCUAACUACGUGCCAGCAGCCGCGGUAAU